Long non-coding RNA from Gallus gallus (chicken), 486 nucleotides. The record is from Ensembl. NCBI's taxonomy places the organism in Eukaryota, Metazoa, Chordata, Aves, Galliformes, Phasianidae.
GGGGAGCAUAUGUAUGAGCUUGAAGAAGCAUAUGUAUGAAGUGAAUUUUUUUGCAGAACAGAUGUCAGAUAUGUUGAACUGUGAUACAAUGUAGAUCAUUUUAUUGGCUUCCUUGUAAGGGACAGUUUUUAAAAGAACACUGACUAAUCUCUUCUACUUUCUUGUACAUCAUCAAGGGAGAGAGAUAAGUCAGUGACCAACUUCUUGAAGGGAUGAAGAACUCCUUUGAGGUGAUGGGAGGCCAAGAGAAAAAGGCCACUUUCCUUGAGGCAAGAGUAUCCAGGCACGUGCAGAGCUACUGACUUCAGUGAAACCUAAGCUGUUGGCUGUCAUGUACCUAAAGGAACAGAACUUCAGUGGUGCACAGGGGUUAGGACACUGCACUCUGGGAUUUCAUUUCGCAUUUUCUUUCUCAGGUGGCCUGUGGAUUUGACUCUUGCCAAGUUGCUGGAAGAAACAAAGCAGCACUGUAUCUUCAGUAGGAGC